This 532-nucleotide ribosomal RNA is filed under the name Actinomyces sp. 13-169. RNAcentral's name for it is "bacterial SSU rRNA". It matches the Rfam family "Bacterial small subunit ribosomal RNA", at positions 13 to 519 of the family's 1533-position model. The record is from RNAcentral. Lineage: Bacteria; Bacillati; Actinomycetota; Actinomycetes; Actinomycetales; Actinomycetaceae.
UUGAUCCUGGCUCAGGACGAACGCUGGCGGCGUGCUUAACACAUGCAAGUCGAACGGUGAAGCGCUUUCCUUUUUGGUUGGUGUGGAUGAGUGGCGAACGGGUGAGUAACACGUGAGUAACCUGCCCCCUUCUUCUGGAUAACCGCAUGAAAGUGUGGCUAAUACGGGAUAUUCUGCGCCUGCUGCAUGGUGGGUGUGGGAAAGAUUGUGCCUUUGGGUGUUUUCGGUGGGGGAUGGGCUCGCGGCCUAUCAGCUUGUUGGUGGGGUGAUGGCCUACCAAGGCGGUGACGGGUAGCCGGCCUGAGAGGGUGGACGGUCACACUGGGACUGAGACACGGCCCAGACUCCUACGGGAGGCAGCAGUGGGGAAUAUUGCACAAUGGGCGCAAGCCUGAUGCAGCGACGCCGCGUGAGGGAUGGAGGCCUUCGGGUUGUGAACCUCUUUCGCCAGUGAAGCAGGCCUGUCCCUUUUGUGGGUGGGUUGACGGUAGCUGGAUAAGAAGCGCCGGCUAACUACGUGCCAGCAGCCGCG